This is a long non-coding RNA of Xenia sp. Carnegie-2017, 974 nucleotides long. RefSeq lists it as uncharacterized. NCBI's taxonomy places the organism in Eukaryota, Metazoa, Cnidaria, Anthozoa, Malacalcyonacea, Xeniidae. The record is from RefSeq and is a predicted model, not a curated record. The transcript is spliced from 5 exons.
AAAUAUGAAGGAGGUGCUGAAAGUUUGGAGAGGAUUUUAGAAUCUUAAGCUGUGUUAUCGUCGACGUCAUUUGUUUGUUCACAAACGCACAACAAACGCAAAGACCACAAACGCUUUUCAAUAAAUGAAUGCACUUGAAGAGCCAGUUGAGCAAGAAUUGUUGUAUGAGAGUGAAACAGAGGAAAUCCAGGAAUCACAAGAAAGCACUGAAGUACCGCCAAUCAACAACUUGGAACAUCAAGAAAGGUAAUUGACGCUUUUUUGUGGAGUUUGACUGAAAACUACACUACUGUUCUUGCAGCAGAAUCAUUUAUUUCGGACUUUGUUAAAAACAACUCAAGCACAAGACGCACAUGGGCUAAUAGAUCUUUUCACCAAACCAAAAUUAUCCUUUUUCCAAUCAACAUCCAUGACAUUCACUGGACACUACUGUGCUUUGGUAGAUGUAAAAACAGGUUGGAACUCAAGCUCAUGGCAAUGUUUUGAACCACUCCAUUGUAAACAGGAAGAUAUGUAUAACUGUGGAGUGUACAUAUGCUUGGGAGCAAAUUGUGGCUGUUUGCAAAAUAUGCAGAGAGGAUGACAAUGAAGACUGGCUGGGUUGUGAUCAAUGUGGUCAAUUUUUUCAUGCAAGUUGCCUUAAUGUUGACUUUGCCAUAACCUUGUCAACACAUUUUAGAUGCAGAUAAAAUUAUUAUCAAUAUUAUAUGACAUGCAACAAAAUCAUUGUUAUGGUAUCAAUGCAAAUUGUGCAAUUAAAAUGAGUGCUUCAAAAUAUAGUAAUGUGUGAAUGAUAAAUACUUUAAUUUAAGGUAAAAUGAACUGGAAGAUUUAAUUGAUUCGGUACAAUUGUGCUUGCCACUAAUUGAAUCUCACACAUGCAAUGAAUAGUUUGAAACUGUUGAUGAAAUGUUAUAAUAAACUACAAGUUUUACAAAUAUAUCUGAAAUAAAAUGGCUUAUUCCUAUUUCUUA